This 2272-nucleotide ribosomal RNA is filed under the name Salmonella enterica subsp. enterica serovar Enteritidis. RNAcentral's name for it is "partial 23S ribosomal RNA". It matches the Rfam family "Bacterial large subunit ribosomal RNA", at positions 663 to 2911 of the family's 2925-position model. The record is from RNAcentral. Lineage: Bacteria; Pseudomonadati; Pseudomonadota; Gammaproteobacteria; Enterobacterales; Enterobacteriaceae.
GAGCCGGAGGGAAACCGAGUCUUAAUUGGGCGUUAAGUUGCAGGGUAUAGACCCGAAACCCGGUGAUCUAGCCAUGGGCAGGUUGAAGGUUGGGUAACACUAACUGGAGGACCGAACCGACUAAUGUUGAAAAAUUAGCGGAUGACCUGUGGCUGGGGGUGAAAGGCCAAUCAAACCGGGAGAUAGCUGGUUCUCCCCGAAAGCUAUUUAGGUAGCGCCUCGUGAAUUCAUCUCCGGGGGUAGAGCACUGUUUCGGCUAGGGGGCCAUCCCGGCUUACCAACCCGAUGCAAACUGCGAAUACCGGAGAAUGUUAUCACGGGAGACACACGGCGGGUGCUAACGUCCGUCGUGAAGAGGGAAACAACCCAGACCGCCAGCUAAGGUCCCAAAGUCAUGGUUAAGUGGGAAACGAUGUGGGAAGGCCCAGACAGCCAGGAUGUUGGCUUAGAAGCAGCCAUCAUUUAAAGAAAGCGUAAUAGCUCACUGGUCGAGUCGGCCUGCGCGGAAGAUGUAACGGGGCUAAACCAUGCACCGAAGCUGCGGCAGCGACACUGUGUGUUGUUGGGUAGGGGAGCGUUCUGUAAGCCUGCGAAGGUGGCCUGUGAGGGUUGCUGGAGGUAUCAGAAGUGCGAAUGCUGACAUAAGUAACGAUAAAGCGGGUGAAAAGCCCGCUCGCCGGAAGACCAAGGGUUCCUGUCCAACGUUAAUCGGGGCAGGGUGAGUCGACCCCUAAGGCGAGGCCGAAAGGCGUAGUCGAUGGGAAACGGGUUAAUAUUCCCGUACUUGGUGUUACUGCGAAGGGGGGACGGAGAAGGCUAUGUUGGCCGGGCGACGGUUGUCCCGGUUUAAGCGUGUAGGUGUGUGUUCCAGGUAAAUCCGGUUCACUUUAACACUGAGGCGUGACGACGAGGCACUACGGUGCUGAAGCAACAAAUGCCCUGCUUCCAGGAAAAGCCUCUAAGCAUCAGGUAACAUCAAAUCGUACCCCAAACCGACACAGGUGGUCAGGUAGAGAAUACCAAGGCGCUUGAGAGAACUCGGGUGAAGGAACUAGGCAAAAUGGUGCCGUAACUUCGGGAGAAGGCACGCUGACACGUAGGUGAAGUGAUUUACUCAUGGAGCUGAAGUCAGUCGAAGAUACCAGCUGGCUGCAACUGUUUAUUAAAAACACAGCACUGUGCAAACACGAAAGUGGACGUAUACGGUGUGACGCCUGCCCGGUGCCGGAAGGUUAAUUGAUGGGGUCAGCGCAAGCGAAGCUCCUGAUCGAAGCCCCGGUAAACGGCGGCCGUAACUAUAACGGUCCUAAGGUAGCGAAAUUCCUUGUCGGGUAAGUUCCGACCUGCACGAAUGGCGUAAUGAUGGCCAGGCUGUCUCCACCCGAGACUCAGUGAAAUUGAACUCGCUGUGAAGAUGCAGUGUACCCGCGGCAAGACGGAAAGACCCCGUGAACCUUUACUAUAGCUUGACACUGAACAUUGAGCCUUGAUGUGUAGGAUAGGUGGGAGGCUUUGAAGUGUGGACGCCAGUCUGCAUGGAGCCGACCUUGAAAUACCACCCUUUAAUGUUUGAUGUUCUAACGUGGACCCGUUACCCGGGUUGCGGACAGUGUCUGGUGGGUAGUUUGACUGGGGCGGUCUCCUCCUAAAGAGUAACGGAGGAGCACGAAGGUUGGCUAAUCCUGGUCGGACAUCAGGAGGUUAGUGCAAUGGCAUAAGCCAGCUUGACUGCGAGCGUGACGGCGCGAGCAGGUGCGAAAGCAGGUCAUAGUGAUCCGGUGGUUCUGAAUGGAAGGGCCAUCGCUCAACGGAUAAAAGGUACUCCGGGGAUAACAGGCUGAUACCGCCCAAGAGUUCAUAUCGACGGCGGUGUUUGGCACCUCGAUGUCGGCUCAUCACAUCCUGGGGCUGAAGUAGGUCCCAAGGGUAUGGCUGUUCGCCAUUUAAAGUGGUACGCGAGCUGGGUUUAGAACGUCGUGAGACAGUUCGGUCCCUAUCUGCCGUGGGCGCUGGAGAACUGAGGGGGGCUGCUCCUAGUACGAGAGGACCGGAGUGGACGCAUCACUGGUGUUCGGGUUGUCAUGCCAAUGGCACUGCCCGGUAGCUAAAUGCGGAAGAGAUAAGUGCUGAAAGCAUCUAAGCACGAAACUUGCCCCGAGAUGAGUUCUCCCUGAGACUUAAAGUCUCCUGAAGGAACGUUGAAGACGACGACGUUGAUAGGCCGGGUGUGUAAGCGCAGCGAUGCGUUGAGCUAACCGGUACUAAUGAACCG